UCUCUAUAUAAAGGCGAAGAACGGAGGAACACAGAGAGGUUUGCGCGCGAAAGUUUGGCGUUCCUAAAGUUGCUCUGACGAGGAGAAGGUUGAUAUUAGGGUUCGGAAUUAUCGGUGCCUCACUAUGUUGUUUGCAAACUCAGACUUUGAUGAGUUGCUGCAUUACAUCUUUGAAGAAGAUCCCGUGUCAGCGUUGCUACCUGAACAGUAUUUUUAGUAAAUAAUAUAUAGGAACGAAUUCUCAGGUGGACUCAUCGGUGACUUUGACUAUACGCUAAUUGGUGUCAACUAUGACAUUUGUACGCAAAAAGCAUGCAAUCGAGGCAAUGCUGUGCCACUGGUUUGUUUCCAUCCAUACCUCUUCUCUCUAUACCCGUUCAUUCCUUGCUGAUCUCUUCUCAAUUGUACUCUGCAUAAAAUCAAAACCCAAGGUAAUGCAAUGGAAGUGGAACCUAACGAAUGAGGUAACAAUCAAUUAGAUACAUUUCAUUUUUAACU
Long non-coding RNA from Cucurbita moschata (crookneck pumpkin), 498 nucleotides. RefSeq lists it as uncharacterized. The record is from RefSeq and is a predicted model, not a curated record. Lineage: Eukaryota; Viridiplantae; Streptophyta; Magnoliopsida; Cucurbitales; Cucurbitaceae. The transcript has 4 exons.